UGGGGAAUCUUGCACAAUGGGGGCAACCCUGAUGCAGCGACGCCGCGUGAGCGAUGAAGCCCUUCGGGGCGUAAAGCUCUUUCGACCGGAACGAUAAUGACGGUACCGGGAGAAGAAGCUGCGGCUAACUACGUGCCAGCAGCCGCGGUAAUACGUAGGGGGCAAGCGUUGUCCGGAUUUACUGGGUGUAAAGGGUGCUCAGGCGGAUUUGUAAGUCAGAGGUGAAAUCUUACAGCUUAACUGUGAAACUGCCUUUGAUACUGCAAGCCUAGAGUAUGGAAGAGAGUGAUGGAAUAUCUGGUGUAGCAGUGAAAUGCGUAGAUAUCAGAUAGAACACCAAUGGCGAAGGCAGUCACUUGGUCCAUUACUGACGCUAAAGCACGAAAGCGUGGGUAGCAAACA
This 402-nucleotide ribosomal RNA is filed under the name uncultured bacterium. Its description in RNAcentral is "bacterial SSU rRNA". It matches the Rfam family "Bacterial small subunit ribosomal RNA", at positions 355 to 774 of the family's 1533-position model. The record is from RNAcentral.